GACGAACGCUGGCGGCGUGCUUAACACAUGCAAGUCGAACGGAAAGGCCCUGCUUUUGUGGGGUGCUCGAGUGACGAACGGGUGAGUAACACGUGAGUAACCUGCCCUUGACUUUGGGAUAACUUCAGGAAACUGGGGCUAAUACCGGAUAGGAGCUCCUGCUGCAUGGUGGGGGUUGGAAAGUUUCGGCGGUUGGGGAUGGACUCGCGGCUUAUCAGCUUGUUGGUGGGGUAGUGGCUUACCAAGGCUUUGACGGGUAGCCGGCCUGAGAGGGUGACCGGCCACAUUGGGACUGAGAUACGGCCCAGACUCCUACGGGAGGCAGCAGUGGGGAAUAUUGCACAAUGGGCGGAAGCCUGAUGCAGCAACGCCGCGUGCGGGAUGACGGCCUUCGGGUUGUAAACCGCUUUCGCCUGUGACGAAGCGUGAGUGACGGUAAUGGGUAAAGAAGCACCGGCUAACUACGCG
This 468-nucleotide ribosomal RNA is filed under the name uncultured bacterium. RNAcentral's name for it is "partial 16S ribosomal RNA". It matches the Rfam family "Bacterial small subunit ribosomal RNA", at positions 28 to 507 of the family's 1533-position model. The record is from RNAcentral.